This 450-nucleotide ribosomal RNA is filed under the name uncultured bacterium. RNAcentral describes it as "partial 16S ribosomal RNA". It matches the Rfam family "Bacterial small subunit ribosomal RNA", at positions 354 to 796 of the family's 1533-position model. The record is from RNAcentral.
GUGGGGAAUCUUCCGCAAUGGACGAAAGUCUGACGGAGCGACGCCGCGUGAGUGAAGAAGGCCUUCGGGUCGUAAAGCUCUGUCAUCAGGGACGAACGGCCGGUGGAGUGGAAAGCCACCGGAUUGACGGUACCUGAGAAGGAAGCCACGGCUAACUACGUGCCAGCAGCCGCGGUAAUACGUAGGUGGCAAGCGUUGUCCGGAAUUAUUGGGCGUAAAGCGCGCGCAGGUGGGAUCUUAAGUCCAUUUUUAAAGUUCGGAGCUCAACUCCGUGAUGGGAUGGAAACUGGGAUUCUUGAGUACCGGGGAGGAAAGCGGAAUUCCCCGUGUAGCGGUGAAAUGCGUAGAUAUGGGGAGGAACACCAGUGGCGAAGGCGGCUUUCUGGACGGUGUCUGACACUGAGGCGCGAAAGCCAGGGGAGCGAACGGGAUUAGAUACCCGUGUAGUCC